This 440-nucleotide ribosomal RNA is filed under the name uncultured bacterium. RNAcentral's name for it is "partial 16S ribosomal RNA". It matches the Rfam family "Bacterial small subunit ribosomal RNA", at positions 338 to 795 of the family's 1533-position model. The record is from RNAcentral.
CCUACGGGAGGCAGCAGUGGGGAAUAUUGCACAAUGGGGGAAACCCUGAUGCAGCGACGCCGCGUGAGUGAUGAAGUCUUUCGGUCUGUAAAGCUCUAUCAGCAGGGAAGAUAAUUACGGUACCUGACUCAGACGCCCCGGCUAACUACGUGCAAGCAGCCGCGGUAAUAAGGAGGAGGCCAGCGUUAUCCGGAUUUUCUGGGUGUAAAGGGAGCGUAGUUGGGAGGGCAAGUCAGAUGUGAAAGCCCGGGGCUCAACCCCGGUACUGCAUUUGACACUGUCCAGAUAGAGUGCAGGAGAGGUAGGCGGAAGGCGUAGUGUAGCGGUGAAAUGCGUAGAUAUUAGGAGGAACACCAGUGGCGAAGGCGGCUUACUGGACGGUCACUGACACUGAGGCACGAAAGCGUGGGGAGCAAACAGGAUUAGAUACCCGUGUAGUC